GAUGAACGCUGGCGGCGUGCCUAACACAUGCAAGUCGAACGAAAAGACGAUGAUCUUGUUCGUUGCUCGUUAGCGGCGGGCGUGUGUGUAACGCGUAUAUCACCUCCUUAUAUUUCGGGUAUAAUUACGGAAAUCCGGAUCAUAUCGGAUAGAAUAUUUCGAACCGUGUUGGUCGUUGGUAAAAUACGGCUUUGCGGGCUCUACUAGAUGCUCCUGCGCCGUAUUAGCUAGUUGGUGAGGUAAAGGCCUACCAAGGCGACGAUACGUAGCCGAACUGAGAGGGUGAUAGGCCACACUGGAACUGAGACACGGUCAAGACUCCUACGGGAGGCAGCAGUAGGGAAUCUUACGCAAUGGGCGAAAGCCUGACAGAGCAACGCCGCGUGAGUGAUGAAGGCCUUCGGAUCGUAAAGCCCUGUUUUUGGGGAAGAACAGCCGUGGCAGUAGACGUGGAGGUCUUGACGGUACCUAAUCAAAAAGCAACGGCUAACUACGUG
RNAcentral lists this ribosomal RNA (497 nucleotides) under uncultured bacterium. Its description in RNAcentral is "partial 16S ribosomal RNA". It matches the Rfam family "Bacterial small subunit ribosomal RNA", at positions 28 to 507 of the family's 1533-position model. The record is from RNAcentral.